GGCAACUUGCUGCCUCUCCUCUCCCUACACCCUCACACUCCCUCUGAUCCCCGCACAGCCUUGCACCCCCUCUUGACCCAUACAACCUUGUGUCCCCCCACCCACCUGCCCAGUGGUUCCCAGAAGUGCGGCACCACUGCCCCAGCACACCCAUCAUCCUGGUGGGCACCAAGCUGGACCUGCGGGAUGACAAGGACACCAUCGAGAAACUGAAGGAGAAGAAGCUGGCUCCCAUCACCUACCCGCAGGGCCUGGCACUGGCCAAGGAGAUUGACUCGGUGAAAUACCUAGAGUGCUCAGCCCUCACCCAGAGAGGCCUGAAAACCGUGUUCGACGAGGCCAUCCGGGCCGUGCUGUGCCCUCAGCCCACGCGGCAGCAGAAGCGCACCUGCAGCCUCCUCUAGGGGUUGCACCCCAGCGCUCCCACCUAGAUGGGUCUGAUCCUCCAGGAUCCCCACCCAAAGCCUGAUGGCACCCCGG
This 480-nucleotide small RNA is filed under the name Pan troglodytes (chimpanzee). RNAcentral's name for it is "retained intron". Lineage: Eukaryota; Metazoa; Chordata; Mammalia; Primates; Hominidae. The record is from RNAcentral.